AAAGAAUUUAAAGGAAAAGUUUCACUAAGGGGAAACAUACAGGACUAAAGUUUUUCCUGGAGCUCUGUACCCUGUUUAGGACCUUUUAAUUUUCUCCCUGUGUUUUGGUCACCUCUGUGACCUGAUCUAAUCUCUUAGGUGGGAAGCUACUUAAAGGCAUACAGGGUUAUUUUACCAUCCAUACCAGAGGGACACGGCCCAGCAGGUUCGAUGAAUGAACCAUUGAUUAAAUGACUUCGGUAACAGCAACUACAAAGUGCCCAAACUACCAGCUCACAAUGAUGUCUCUGAGGUAAAGAUCUGUCACACUGCCCAGUGAAGAUCCAGUUCUACAAGUCAGGAGUGAUAAUUAGACUUCCUCUGUCUAAGCAAAUCAAAAGAAUUAAACUACCUUUUGGAGAUAAACCUUUCACAGCUGUAUAUUAUAACCCCACCCAAUUAUAGAUUUAAAAAAAAGCGGUCUAGGCAGAAACUCAUUUACACAUAAAGCCAAGGUAGGGGGCUCUGCCAGCUCUUCAAGUGGGGGUACAAUUUAAUGGCAGACAGUUAAGCUAUUCCAGCAAAGGCUUAAUGAAUACCCAGUACUCUCUUACAGCAGCUCCAACAACUGCAAGGGUUCUGGUCCAGGUCAAAAGUGAAUACCAUUUAUUUUCCUGAUGAUGCUCUCUUUCCACCUUUGUGUCUGGGGUGGAUCUGAUGGUUUCUAUGGUUUGCUCUGAAAAUCCCAGCCCUGCAAAGAACUUGAAAUUGUGGGGAUGUGCAUCAAAUGAGGAAUGGCUUAACAAGUUAUAUGAACGUAAUGUUCUAUAAGAAAUGAUGAACAGGCAGAUUUCAGAAAAACCUGGAAAGACUUAUAUGAACUGAUGCUUAGUGAAGUAAGAAGAACCAGGGAAAUAUUGUACGCAGUAACAACAACAUUGGGUGUGAUGAUGAACUAUGACAGACCUUAGCUCUUCUCAGCAAUGCAAUGAUAUAAGACAAUUCCAAAAGACUUGUGAUAGAAAAUGCUGUCCAUAUCUAGAGAAAGAACUAUGGAGUCUGAAUGUAGAUUGAAACACCCUAUUUUCACUUUUGUUGUUUUUUUUUUUUCCUUUUGGUUUUCCCUUUUGUUCUGAUUCUUUUUUCUUUUUACAACAUGACCAAUGUGGAACUAUUUAACAUGAUUUCACAUAUUUACAAUCUAUGUCAGAUUGCUGACUAUCUUGAGGGGAGAGAGAAGAUAGGGAGAGAGAAAAAUCUGGAACUCAAAAUCUUAUAAAAAUGAAUGUUGAAAACUAUUUUUACAUGUAAUAGGAAAAAAAUACUAUUAAGUGCAAUUAAAAAAAAGAAAAUAAAAUUCCAGCCCUGAGUAGAAAUUUUACCCUAAUACUGAACCACCCUAAACAGUGGUAUCAUAUUGAAAGGGGAACCUGUUAUGCUACUAGUUCAGUUCCCCCAAAGUAAGAAAAGAUCAGAGGAGUAAUAAUAAUACAUAAUAAUGAAUAAUUAUGCUUAUUAUUAAAGAGAGGAGCUCUUUGGUCAGUUCUGCCUACUGAACUGAGGUCCCUGAUUUCUACAAUGUUCCCACACCAGGAGUGCAGAAUCUCACAGUAAGAAGAGACAGGACAGGCUAUCUAACCCUAUCUUUAUUUUAACAAAAGUUUCCUCUACCCUGUAUCUGAUAAGUGAUUAUUUAAUUUUUGCCCGAAAACCUCCAGAGAAGGGAAACACAUAAACCCAAGGAGCAGCUCAUUCCACUUUUGGAAAGUUCAUUGCCAGAAGUUUCUCCUUAUAUCAAGCCUAAAUCUGCCUUUUGGAAACAUUAUCUACCCCCUUGGGACCAAGCAGAGCAAGUAUAAUCUCUUUUACAUGUAACAGUCCUUUAAGGACUUAAACACAGAUGCCAUAUUUGUCCUGGCUUGUCUUCUCUGUGCUAAAUAUAUCCAGUUUUUCAAUCAGUUCUUCUAUAGCAUGAAAUUUUAGACCCUUCACUGUCCUGGUUGCCUUUUUCUAUACACGUUUCACCUCAUCAGUGUGCUUCCUGAAAGUUGGUGCCCAGAAAUGAAAAAAAUGCAGUCUUGACAGAUGGGACUUUGCUAUCCAAGUACUGGACAUCAUACUUUCUUUAAUUUGGUUUAAGAAUGCAUUUUUCCAGCUACCAUAAAAUAAUCUUUAUGCACAUUUAACUUGUAACCCAAUGGAACCCCUCCGAUCCUUGUUAGAUAAAUGACAAUUUAGCCAUUCAUUCCCCAUCUCAUACAUACUCAAGAGGCUGAUUUUUGGAAUCUUACAUAGAAAUUUAAAUUUGUUUUCAUGUUACUAGAUUUGACCUAAUUUUCUAACCUAUUAAAAAGCUUUCAAAA
This is a long non-coding RNA of Antechinus flavipes (yellow-footed antechinus), 2342 nucleotides long. RefSeq lists it as uncharacterized. The record is from RefSeq and is a predicted model, not a curated record. Lineage: Eukaryota; Metazoa; Chordata; Mammalia; Dasyuromorphia; Dasyuridae. The transcript has 2 exons.